GAUUUACAUAGAGGUUGCAAUUGACAUAAGUACCAAGACCAAGCUGUUGUAGCAGUGAUGCGGUGUUGUGAAAGGGGAUAUUGCCGAAAUAGUUUAUCACUACCAAGAUAGAUUAUUGGGACAAUAGUUAAUAACUGUUGGACUGUCGUUAGAGAUAACGGUGAGCUAUGGCAACU
Molecule: non-coding RNA, 176 nt
Filed under: Leuconostoc carnosum
Lineage: Bacteria; Bacillati; Bacillota; Bacilli; Lactobacillales; Lactobacillaceae
Also listed under: 1 other name
Description: Lysine
Rfam family: Lysine riboswitch aptamer
About the family: Riboswitches are metabolite binding domains within certain messenger RNAs that serve as precision sensors for their corresponding targets. Allosteric rearrangement of mRNA structure is mediated by ligand binding, and this results in modulation of gene expression.
Source: RNAcentral